AUUGAACGCUGGCGGCACGCUUAACACAUGCAAGUCGAACGGCAGCGGGGGGAGCUUGCUCCCUGCCGGCGAGUGGCGAACGGGUGAGUAACGCGUAGGGAUCUGCCUGUUAGAGGGGGAUAAGCCGUGGAAACGCGGUCUAAUACCGCAUACGCUCUAAGGAGGAAAGUAUGGGACCGAAAGGCCAUACGCUAACAGAUGAACCUGCGUUAGAUUAGCUAGUUGGUAGGGUAAAGGCCUACCAAGGCGACGAGCUAUAGCUGGUCUGAGAGGAUGACCAGCCACACUGGAACUGAGAUACGGACCAGACGCCUACGGGAGGCAGCAGUGGGGAAUAUUGGACAAUGGGGGCAACCCUGAUCCAGCGAUGCCGCGUGUGUGAAGAAGGCCUGAGGGUUGUAAAGCACUUUAGUUGGGGAGGAAAGCCUGAGGAUGAAUAAGCCUUAGGGGAGACGUUACCCAAAGAAUAAGCACCGGCUAACUCUGUGCCAGCCGCCGCAGUAA
RNAcentral lists this ribosomal RNA (504 nucleotides) under uncultured bacterium. Its description in RNAcentral is "partial 16S ribosomal RNA". It matches the Rfam family "Bacterial small subunit ribosomal RNA", at positions 29 to 523 of the family's 1533-position model. The record is from RNAcentral.